AGUGAACGCUGGCGGUAGGCCUAACACAUGCAAGUCGAACGGCAGCACAGUAAGAGCUUGCUCUUACGGGUGGCGAGUGGCGGACGGGUGAGGAAUACAUCGGAAUCUACUUUUUCGUGGGGGAUAACGUAGGGAAACUUACGCUAAUGCCGCAUACGACCUACGGGUGAAAGCAGGGGAUCUUCGGACCUUGCGCGAUUGAAUGAGCCGAUGUCGGAUUAGCUAGUUGGCGGGGUAAAGGCCCACCAAGGCGACGAUCCGUAGCUGGUCUGAGAGGAUGAUCAGCCACACUGGAACUGAGACACGGUCCAGACUCCUACGGGAGGCAGCAGUGGGGAAUAUUGGACAAUGGGCGCAAGCCUGAUCCAGCCAUACCGCGUGGGUGAAGAAGGCCUUCGGGUUGUAAAGCCCUUUUGUUGGGAAAGAAAAGCAGCAGGUUAAUACCCCGCCGUUCUGACGGUACCCAAAGAAUAAGCACCGGCUAACUUCGUG
Molecule: ribosomal RNA, 492 nt
Filed under: uncultured bacterium
Lineage: Bacteria
Description: partial 16S ribosomal RNA
Rfam family: Bacterial small subunit ribosomal RNA
Source: RNAcentral